AGGGCACCACCAGGAGUGGAGCCUGCGGCUUAAUUUGACUCAACACGGGAAAACUCACCUGGCCCGGACACCGUGAGGAUUGACAGAUUGAGAGCUCUUUCUUGAUUCGGUGGUUGGUGGUGCAUGGCCGUUCUUAGUUGGUGGAGUGAUUUGUCUGGUUUAUUCCGAUAACGAGCGAGACUCUAGCCUACUAAAUAGUUACUGGAUAAUUGCGUCCAGAAGACUUCUUAGAGGGACAAGCGGUGUUCAGCCGCACGAAGCUGAGCAAUAACAGGUCUGUGAUGCCCUUAGAUGUCCAGGGCUGCACGCGCGCUACACUGGAGGAAUCAGCGUGCUGUAACCAUUGCCGAAAGGCAUUGGUAACCCCUUGAAAAUCCUCCGUGAUCGGGAUCGGGAAUUGCAAUUAUUUCCCUUGAACGAGGAAUUCCUAGUAAGUGUGAGUCAUCAGCUCACGUUGAUUACGUCCCUGCCCUUUGUACACACCGCCCGUCGCUGCCCGGGACUGAGCCGUUUCGAGAA
Molecule: ribosomal RNA, 519 nt
Filed under: uncultured eukaryote
Lineage: Eukaryota
Description: SSU rRNA
Rfam family: Eukaryotic small subunit ribosomal RNA
Source: RNAcentral